AAUGGAAUAAAUAUCAUUGGACAAUAGACACACUAGAUAUAUGAUAUGGAAGAAUCAUUAGGACCACAUAGAUGUGGUCCAAGGGUUGGUGAUCACCUGAUCUUAUGAACACAAGAGGACCAUUCAAUGAGAGAACUUCCAAGGGAUAAAAAGGCAUCCUAUACGUGAAUCAUUGGGUUUAUGUAGUACAAAGCAGUGGGCUCCCAGA
This 208-nucleotide long non-coding RNA is filed under the name Elaeis guineensis (African oil palm). RNAcentral describes it as "long non-coding RNA (EGUI_LNC030620)". The record is from RNAcentral. Lineage: Eukaryota; Viridiplantae; Streptophyta; Magnoliopsida; Arecales; Arecaceae.